RNAcentral lists this ribosomal RNA (254 nucleotides) under uncultured bacterium. RNAcentral's name for it is "partial 16S ribosomal RNA". It matches the Rfam family "Bacterial small subunit ribosomal RNA", at positions 524 to 776 of the family's 1533-position model. The record is from RNAcentral.
AACGUAGGACACAAGCGUUAUCCGGAGUUACUGGGCGUAAAGGGCUCGUAGGCGGCCCACUAAGUCCGACGUGAAAUCCCCAGGCUUAACUUGGGAACUGCGUCGGAUACUGGUGGGCUUGAAUCCGGGAGAGGGAUGCGGAAUUCCAGGUGUAGCGGUGAAAUGCGUAGAUAUCUGGAGGAACACCGGUGGCGAAGGCGGCAUCCUGGACCGGCAUUGACGCUGAGUGAGCGAAAGCCAGGGGAGCAAACGGG